This is a non-coding RNA of Podarcis lilfordi (Lilford's wall lizard), 81 nucleotides long. NCBI's taxonomy places the organism in Eukaryota, Metazoa, Chordata, Lepidosauria, Squamata, Lacertidae. The record is from the annotation of a GenBank genome assembly.
GUCUGUGGUGUGGGUAGCUCAGUUGGUUAGAGCGUGGUGCUGAUAAUGCCAAGGUUGCAGGUUCGAUCCCCGUAUGGGACA